UACGGAGGGUGCAAGCGUUGUCCGGAUUUAUUGGGUUUAAAGGGUGCGUAGGCGGCCCGUUAAGUCAGUGGUGAAAGCCUCCAGCUCAACUGGAGAACUGCCAUUGAUACUGGCGGGCUUGAGUACAGACGAGGUUGGCGGAAUUGAUUGUCUAGCGGUGAAAUGCAUAGAUACAAUCAAGAACACCGAUUGCGUAGGCAGCUAACUAGGCUGUAACUGACGCUGAGGCACGAAAGCGUGGGGAGCGAACAGG
This 253-nucleotide ribosomal RNA is filed under the name uncultured bacterium. RNAcentral describes it as "partial 16S ribosomal RNA". It matches the Rfam family "Bacterial small subunit ribosomal RNA", at positions 524 to 776 of the family's 1533-position model. The record is from RNAcentral.